RNA transcript from Gossypium raimondii (Peruvian cotton), 2096 nucleotides. It is a transcript of the gene named histone deacetylase 2, with no coding region annotated. Lineage: Eukaryota; Viridiplantae; Streptophyta; Magnoliopsida; Malvales; Malvaceae. The record is from RefSeq and is a predicted model, not a curated record. The transcript is spliced from 13 exons.
GCCAUUCCCUCCUUUUAUUCCUACUUUUGUUUUUUAUUGCGUCUGUGCCACCGCUUUGUAUUACAAAAACGAAUUUAUUUAAAAGCUUGAAACCAACGCGAUGACGAUUCCUUUGCUGACGCUCUCACACCAGCAACCGUUUUGGAAGUUUAGAACUCACCGAGUCAUUGCAAACACCACCGAAUCAACUCGUAAUCUCUGCAAAUCGACCCUAUAUUUGUUCCUCGCACUCGCCACUCCUUUCAUUGCUUAUCGCUGCUUUAACUCCUUUACAAUGUUUUGGUCUUCGUCUUCGUCAUCCUCUCAACCCGCUACCAAAAUCGAUGCCGAAUCUCUCCGCCGUCAACGAAUUAACUCUAGCAAGCUCUAUCAGCCUGAUGCUUCCUCCAAGGUUCCAGUUAUCUACUCUUCUUAUUACGAUAUCAGCUUCCUCGGAAUUGAGAAACUGCAUCCGUUCGAUUCUUCGAAAUGGGGUCGGAUAUGCCGAUUCUUGAUGUCGGAAGGUUACCUGGAAAAAAAAUCUAUUGUUGAUCCAUUGGAAGCUUCAAGGGACGACCUACUUGUGGUGCAUACAGAAGCAUACCUGAACAGCCUGAAUAACAGCGUGAAUGUUGCCAGGAUAACUGAGGUUCCUCCUGUAGCAAUGUUACCCAAUUGGCUUGUUCAGAUGAAAGUUCUUUAUCCCUUCCGAAGGCAGGUGGGUGGAACUGUUCUGGCGGCUAAGUUAGCGAUGGACCGAGGAUGGGCUAUCAAUGUUGGGGGAGGGUUUCAUCAUUGCAGUGGUGGAAGGGGAGGUGGAUUUUGUGCAUACGCAGAUAUUUCCCUUUGCAUUCAUUUUGCUUUUGUUCGGUUAAAUAUAUCAAGGGUGAUGAUAAUUGAUUUAGAUGCACAUCAAGGAAAUGGUCAUGAAAUGGAUUUUGGUAAUGACGAGCGUGUGUACAUCCUGGAUAUGUACAAUCCAGGAAUCUACCCAUUUGAUAUGACUGCUAGAAAUUAUAUUAACCAGAAGGUUGAAGUGGUGACUGGGACUGCAACUGUUGACUAUUUGGACCAAUUGGAUAAAGCACUUGCGGUAGCGGGGAGUAAUUUUGCCCCUGAGUUGAUUGUUUACAAUGCUGGAACUGAUAUUCUCGAUGGAGAUCCACUGGGUGGAUUAAAGAAUUGUCCUUUCAAUGAUGGCCCUGGAGAGUGGAGAGCAGCCUAAACAUCAUACAGAAAGAAGGAAGCUGAUGCUGGUUGCAGGAACACAUUCCUGUUUUAUCUCAUAUUAUGUGCUAACAUGGUCAUGUUGAUUCAUAUGAGAUUUUGUGUUCAUCUCCCUACAAACUCUGCAGAGCUUCACUUGCCUGCUUAUAGGUUAACUGAACAGCGCUGCAUUAGGAUGAUGCAUCUUCAGACCACUAGAAGCAGAUUAGAACGGUCGUUCUUUUCCACUAAACUGUGAAAGAAAAUCCUUCAUUUAUAGUACAUUCAUUUCAAAUAAGUAGUUUUGAACCAAAAAGGGAAGUAGAUAAGUAGCAAUGAGGAUUAGAUUAUCAUGCAAAAUUACAGAGAUUUUCUGUAUCUUAAAUGUUGGUUUAACUCUAGAAAUAUCCUACAAGAUUUCGGGGAUAUAAUUCUAGAUGGGCUGCUUGGCAUAAUCCGGAGUAUCAGUGCUUGCAGUGAAGGGAUGGAGUGUCGCAUGUGAAAAACAAAAAGUAAAAGAAAGUUUGAGACGACUACAACCAAGAAGGCUGCUUAAGGCAGUUCAUUUCUGUGCCCCUUUAAAUUCUGGGGCAUUCAGUAAAAUACACCAUGUUUUAUUUUUAAAAUAUUUCUUUUUAUUGGAUGGUGCAUCUCUGCAUAAUUAAUAUUUGCUAGUUUUCACUUGCGGCUAUUCGUCACUUAUAAUUUUCAGGUCAGUCCAGAGGGGGUGAUCAAAAGAGAUGAGAAGGUCUUCAGGUUUGCUCGUGAUAGAAAGAUCCCUAUUGUAAUGGUCACAUCAGGUGGCUAUAUGAAAACCAGUGCCAGAGUCAUAGCAGAUUCCAUUAUAAACCUCUCAAAUGAAGGCUUGAUAGAGACAAAUGUCCACAGCGGAAGAAAAAUAAUGAUAUAAG